CUACGUUGCUCUCAUUUAGUAUACGUAUAAUUCACUUCCAUGCGCGCUGUUUUAAUGCAAAGCUUUCAUUAAAAGGCAAUGGCAGAUGUCCCUUCAGAAGAGUUCGUACGUCUUGCUUUUUUAACAGAGCCAUUUUUUAUGGGCUUCGAGAUGAAAUCUUGAGCACUGCUCAUUUUGUUUUUCGUUUGUUUUUAUCACUUCAAGCCCUUCAAAGGAUGGUAAUGGCUGUUAACCCUCGCUUGCUUUCACCAGCAGCGUUGGAGCAUAAUCUCAUAUAAGGGCCACAAGCUGAGCGUAGGAACUCUGAGCGCACCUGAGUGUCAGAACCCAAUAAAAGGGCCACAAGCUGAGUGUAUGAACUCUGAAGGACCAUGGUUGGCAAAGCGCACCUGAGUGUCAGGUUGCUUUACCUUAUGAAGGAAAUUGGCUUAGGUUGCUUUACCUUAUGAAGCAAAUUGUCCCAGGUUGUUUUACGUUAUGAAGCAAAUCGGCCUAGGAUACUUUACCUUAUGAAGCAAAGUGGGCCUAGGUUGCUUUAAUCUCUGAAGCAAAUUGGACCGGGUACCUUUAUCUUUUGGAGAAAAUUGUUCUGGCUAUUGUAUUGGAUUGCAUACAUCUUGGUUUGUUGUUGAAUUAAUUGGUAUUUUAUAGGGUAUGUUUACUUCUGUUCACUUAGACCACUGCAGUGGAUGGCCCUGCUUUUCACGAUGCUUGCAGCUGCAUUCCCCAUCUUCAGUUCCACCAUAGCUGUUACCAUAACUUUGAAGUCCUAGAACGCAAUAAAUCGGCUAGCUACAAGCUGAGCGUAGGAACUCUGAAUGACCAUGGUUGGCAAAGCGCCCAGAUUGUCAGGAAGCUUUUGUUUGGACACUGUCAAAGGGAGCCUAACACCCUUAUCAAUUUAUCAUAUUUUGCAGGUUGGUUUACCUUAUGAAGCAAAUUGGCCUAGGUUGGUUUACCUUAUGAAGCAAAUUGGCCUAGGUUGCUUUACCUUAUGAAGCAAAUUGGCCCAGGUUACUUCAAGUAAUAGGUAACUUACAUCAUGAAGAAAAUUGGUGCAGCUGUUGUAUUGAAUUGCUCACACUGUCAAAGUAACUAACAUACUUACCAUUUUAUCAUAUACUGUGGGAUAGUUUACUUUAUGAAGCAAAGCGGGCUUAGGUGGGUCCUUGUGAAGCAAUUCAGCCUUGGUACCUCGUGAAGAAAAAUUGUAACUGCUAUAUUGAAUUGCUUACAUUGUGGGUCGAGCCUUACACUUUUGUAUUUUGCAGGUUGCUUUAUUUUCUGAACUAAAUUGUUCUGGCUCUUGCAUUGGAUUGCAUACAUCUUAGGUUGGUGUUGAAUUAAUUGGUAUAUUAUAGUGAAUGUUUACUUCUGUCCA
Molecule: long non-coding RNA, 1381 nt
Organism: Cryptomeria japonica (Japanese cedar)
Lineage: Eukaryota; Viridiplantae; Streptophyta; Pinopsida; Cupressales; Cupressaceae
Exons: 14
Source: RefSeq, a predicted model, not a curated record